CGCACCUUGCGCCCUUUGGCAUUCCGAAGGGCACGCCUGUUUGAGUGUCGUGAACUCCUCCACCCUCCGCUUUUCUCGAAAGGCAUUGGGCUGGGAUUUGGGAGCUUGCGGGUCCCUGGCCGAUCCGCUCUCCUUGAAUACAUUAGCGAAGCCCUUGCGGCCUUGGUGUGAUAGUCAUCUACGCCUCGGCUUAGCGAACACACGGGAGUCGCUUCCAACCGUCUCGCGAGAGACAACACACACGAACUUGACCUCAAAUCAGGCGGGACUACCCGCUGAACUUAA
RNAcentral lists this unclassified non-coding RNA (285 nucleotides) under fungal sp. RNAcentral describes it as "partial contains 5.8S ribosomal RNA, internal transcribed spacer 2, and large subunit ribosomal RNA". The record is from RNAcentral. Lineage: Eukaryota; Fungi.